This 440-nucleotide ribosomal RNA is filed under the name uncultured bacterium. Its description in RNAcentral is "bacterial SSU rRNA". It matches the Rfam family "Bacterial small subunit ribosomal RNA", at positions 28 to 501 of the family's 1533-position model. The record is from RNAcentral.
GAUGAACGCUGGCGGCGUGCCUAACACAUGCAAGUCGAGCGAACCCUUCGGGGUGAGCGGCGGACGGGUGAGUAACGCGUGGGUAACCUGCCCUGUACACACGGAUAACAUACCGAAAGGUAUGCUAAUACGAGAUGAUAUAUAAAAGUUGCAUGACUUUUAUAUCAAAGCUUUUGCGGUACAGGAUGGACCCGCGUCUGAUUAGCUAGUUGGUAAGGUAACGGCUUACCAAGGCGACGAUCAGUAGCCGACCUGAGAGGGUGAUCGGCCACACUGGAACUGAGACACGGUCCAGACUCCUACGGGAGGCAGCAGUGGGGAAUAUUGCACAAUGGGCGAAAGCCUGAUGCAGCAACGCCGCGUGAGCGAUGAAGGCCUUCGGGUCGUAAAGCUCUGUCCUCAAGGAAGAUAAUGACGGUACUGAGAGAGCCCCGWUUUGG